AGUCUAGGAGCAACUAGGCCCAUUUUUACAUUCUUUUUCCUACAUUGGCAAGAAGCUACACUCUUGGACUGUGCAACUUUUGCCAAAGGCAAUUUCCAGGAUAGAUUGAAAGCCUCUCGCAAAUCGGAAAUCAAUCUAUGGGUUUAGGUUGAAGCUGAGAGGCUGCUCCACUUCAGGGCAGACUAUCAAAUCUCUAGCUUGAAGAAAAACAGAUGAGCUCCAUAGUUGCAAAGAGAAACUUUUUUCCCCCUAAAAAUUUCUCAAAAUCAGCAAUUUCUCUAUCUUAGGUUGUUUCUGAUGGUAUGAAAAAGGUUGUCCUUAAAGUGCAAUUUGUCAGACUAAUUCUCUUAUGGUUUUAAACUGAACCUUUGGAGGGACCAAGAGAACAUAGCACGUCCCUAUAUUCAGUGUAUCAGUGGAUUCAUCAUCAAGAGAAGCUUUUAUUCUUUAGGAUUUUCUGGGGCACAAUGACCUCUCCUCCAAACAAGAAGAUAGAAGAGAUCUCACUAUUUAGACAGGCUUCUCAGUCUCCUAUCCUCCCUGGACAUAUUGGACAUCAGAGAUUUACUGUAGAGAAAAUGUUCUUUGUCUCCCAAGUAAUUCAUCAGAGAGUAAAUAACACCAGUAAAUGACAUUGCCUGAUGCCAACUGCCUUUUGAGGGAAAUUAAAACCAGAACUCAAAUGCUAUGAAAUCUUAUGACAAAUGGCAUUUUCUUUUCUCCAUAUUUUUCUAAAUGUAAGGUGGUUUGGGUAUCCAACCAAGCGCUAUUAAACAUUUCUCUCUCUCUUUUUUGAUCUUUUUGUCUUUUUAGGGCUGCACCCAUGGCAUAUGGAGGUUCCCAGGCUAGGGGUCUAAUCAGAGCUGUAGCUGCCAGCCUAUGCCACAGCCACAGCAACUCAGGAUCCGAGCCGUGUCUGUGACCUACACCACAGCUCACAGCAAUGAUGGAUCCUUAACCCACUGAGCGAGGCCAGGGAUCGAACCCGCAACCUAAUGGUUCAUAGUAGAUUUGUUUCCUCUGCACCACGACAGGAACUCCAAACAUUUCAAAUAUGUCUUCAUUGUGAGCAUAAGGCACUUAAAACCUCUUUUGAGAUACCUGUGCAAUAAUAUUUAAUUCAUGCCAAAUUUAAAUAUCAUCUCCUUUAGUUUCCUGAAUUGAGAGGAAAAAAAGUUCAAAUGAGAAAGAAAACAAAACUUUUCAUUUCCAUGUUCACUUAUUUUAAGUGAUUGAACAAAAGACCAAUAUAACCUUGAGUCACUGCAACAUGUAAAUUAUGCUUUCGGUCUUGCCAAAUUGAUAUGGUCAUUUGUCACUGAAUAGUCCCUCAAAAGGAAAAUAUCAGCAGCGCAAGGACAUUUCAUCUGAAUUUUCUCUUGGACCUCCUUAUACCACAAUGGAUAGGAAUAUUGCUGAAAAAAAAAGGGUGAAAGGGUUGGCCCCACCCAAAAUUUAGCUAAUGAGAAUAUCCAGAGUUGGGACUGAGGAAUCUGCUCCUUGGCAAAUAUUCUGAUUCUUUUUUUUCUUUUUAGGGCUGCACCUGGGGCAUACAGAAGUUCUCAGGCUAGGGGUCUAAUCGGAGCUAUAGCUGCCAGGCUUUGCUACAACCACAACAAUGCCAGAUCAAAGCCUCAUCUGUGACCUACACUAUAGCUUGCAGCAAUGCCGGAUUCUUAACCCACUAAGCAAGACCAGGUAUUGAACCUGAAUCUGCAUGGAUACUAGUUGGAUUCUUAACCCACUGAGCCAGUGGGAACUCCUCUAUAUGAUUCUUGAACACUAUUAAAUUUGAGAACCCAAAUUAGGGAUUCUGUUCUGACACUAGAUUUAAUAAUCAAACAACAUGAUUUCAAAAACAGAAUUAUAUAAAUUUUGCAAUUUAUUUUUGUCUGGAAUUUUUUACAUUAUUAUACAGUUAAAAUAUUGUAUGAGUAAUUCAAUAUUAUUGUUUUAUUAUAUUAAAAUAUAUUAAUAAUUUCUUAAAAUCAAAUAAUUUUUUAAAAUUCUGAAUCAAAUAUGUGACAUGUAUCUUUUCUUAUUGGAACCAGAUAUAUUACAUUUACUUGAAAUUUCAAAAAAAAAUCUUUCUUUCAUUAAAAAAUGGGGAAAUUUAAUAAAAACAUAUGAACUAUGCUCAAGUGCUGGAUAACAGAAAACCAGUACUCUUACCCUCUGAGAAGAACCACAAAGAGAAUGUGCCCUGGAAUUUUCCAGGCUUUGUUUCAAGAAUUCAGUGCUGUGAGGAUGGAAUGAACCAGAGCAAGAUGGUUUUGUUGAGUUGAGGAAACAGAGAUUCCAAUGUGAGACGGCUGAAGCAAGAAUUUUCAGACCAGGGAAGUGGAGGGAGUUAUGCAGAGAAAGUACUCAAAACAUGUGUAGGACUCUACUCAGGUCUGCUGAAUCCAAACCUGUAUGUGCAUCAAGUUAAGCUCUGUGAUACCAAGCAAAAGUGAACCAGCUAAUCCAAAACUAUCUGCUAUCAAGAGAUGGUCAGUUGAAUAAUUCCUGAGCUCAUACAGGAGUUAGGGGUAUUCCUCUUACAACCAGCCAGAGUAGAAUUCUCAGUGAAAACUCAGCAUAUUCAUUAGAGACCACAGUUUGCAAUGCUAAAAAAGUCCUGGAAAAAAUAAUAUUCUAAAAGCUUCCUAAUAAAGGUUAAAACUAAGCUGAAAGAAUCAAAGUGAUUGGCAAGUAACUUACUGCCUGACAAAAUAAACUUCAACAAAUUUUUUUUUUUUUUGGCUUUUUUAUGGCCGCACCCACAGGAUAUGGAAAUUCCCAGGCUAGGGGUCAAAUUGGAGCUGCAGCUGCCAGCCUACACCACAGCCACGACAAUGUCAGAUCCAAGCUGCAUCCUAAUACCACAGCUCACGGUAAUGCCAGAUCCUUAACUCACUGAGCAAUGCCAAGGAUUGAACCUGUAUCCUCAUGGAUACUAGUCAGGUUUGUAACCUCUGAGCCAUGACAAUAACUCCAACUUCAACAAUAUUUAAAAGAAGCCAAAACAAUCUAUAUACAUUUCUAUUGAUUUUUAUCUACCUAUCUACCUACCUCCAUAUAACAUCAUAAAGCCAGCAUCUAACCCAAAAUUAAUAGACAUAUGAAGACCUAGAAAAAUGUUGACAACCAUGAGAAAAAUCUUUACAUGAAAACAGACAUAGAAAUGACAGCAAUAAAGGAAUCAGUAGACAACUUUAAUCUGAAAAAGAAUGAAUAUAUGUAUAUGUACAAUUCAGUUACUUUGCUUUCUACCUGAAACUAAUGCAAUAUUUUAAGGCAAUUAUAUCCAACAAAAUUUUAAAAUUUUUUAAAUUUAAAAAUAAAAGAUAAUUUAUAUAUAAGAUGAAAAAAUUAACUGGGCUUAAUAGAACACUUGCAUUUGACACUGAAAAACAGAUCAGUGAAUUAAAAGACAUAGCAAUAGAAACCAUCUAUACUGAAACACAAAGAAAAAAAACCUAAAAGAAUGAAAAAAAACCUCAGUGGUUUAUAGUGGUCAACAGACAUGGUAUCAGUGAUUAACAAACACAGUAUUUGAGUACAAAUAUAAAAGUAAGAAAGAACCAAAUCAAUGUGUUAAAAAAAAUGGCUGAAAAAUUUUUCAAAUUGAUAAAAAUCCAAGAAGCUUGAUGACUCCUAAGCAAGAUAAAUAGAGAGCAUACCAUACCAAAGAAUGUGCUGGAAAACAGUGAUAAAGAGAAAACUUCAAAGCUGCCAAAGAAAGAAGUCACAAUAAAUAUUGUAGAAUAAAGAUAAGAAUGAUCUCUGACUUUUCAUCAAAAAAAAAAAGGUACACCAGUAGGCAAUGGAAAGACAGUCUUUAAGUUGCUAAAAACAAAUAUUCAGAAUUUUACAUGGAGCAAAAAUAUUCUUCAAAAAGAAAACUAAAAAUAUGUUCCUAUGAGAAAUACCUAAGAGAAUUUGAGGUCAGCAGAUAUGCACUACCAGUUGUAUUACAGAAAGUUCUUCAGAUGGGAAGCUGGAUCUUUACAAAGGAAUAAAGAGUGAGAAAUGUUAAAAGUGUGAAAUUUUUUUUCUCAUUUUAGAAGUUCUUUAAAUUCAAGAUUAUAUCAUUAGACUUAUAUCAGUAAAUUUUAAGAUAUAUUGCAGUAA
RNAcentral lists this long non-coding RNA (4116 nucleotides) under Sus scrofa (pig). Its description in RNAcentral is "lncRNA (ENSSSCG00000062030.1)". Lineage: Eukaryota; Metazoa; Chordata; Mammalia; Artiodactyla; Suidae. The record is from RNAcentral.